CAGCAGCCACGGUAAUACGGAGGGAGCUAGCGUUGUUCGGAAUUACUGGGCGUAAAGCGCGCGUAGGCGGUUACUCAAGUCAGAGGUGAAAGCCCGGGGCUCAACCCCGGAACUGCCUUUGAAACUAGGUGACUAGAAUCUUGGAGAGGUCAGUGGAAUUCCGAGUGUAGAGGUGAAAUUCGUAGAUAUUCGGAAGAACACCAGUGGCGAAGGCGACUGACUGGACAAGUAUUGACGCUGAGGUACGAAAGCAUGGGGAGCAAACAGGAUUAGAUACCCCUGUAGUCCCUGUCUCUUAUAC
Molecule: ribosomal RNA, 301 nt
Filed under: uncultured bacterium
Lineage: Bacteria
Description: partial 16S ribosomal RNA
Rfam family: Bacterial small subunit ribosomal RNA
Source: RNAcentral